CCAAGCCAAAGACUCAGAGACUGUUUAAUGGGACUCUUUGAGGCAAAGCACAAAUUCCAGAUUUUCUGAGGUCUGAGCUCCAGGGACUCCUUCUGGUUGCUUACUCUGGCAGUUUACACACCCCGGCACUGCAAGUCCUCAAGUGAUGUCAUUUUGUCAUUGAGAAAAAAGUCCUGGCCAAUGUUGACUAAAAUUACACUGACUCGUGUGUUCCAUCGGCUCGUGUAUGUGACUAUAGUACGUAAAUACACAGCAAGCCAGAGAAGCAGCCUCCUUGUGUUGCUGGCUAGUGAGCAUGGCGGGCCUUCAGGGUUGGCUCUCAUCCACCUGCUCCUGCUUGAGCUGAAGACCUUUUAACACCUGGCAUAAUGAGAUGUAAUCAGUGGCUACUUUAACUUUGGGAAGGGCAGGGGGAGGAAGAGGGGCUCUGCUUGGUUAUCUGGUGUUACCGGUUGUUCUAGAGCCUGGGUUCUUCC
Molecule: long non-coding RNA, 476 nt
Organism: Talpa occidentalis (Iberian mole)
Lineage: Eukaryota; Metazoa; Chordata; Mammalia; Eulipotyphla; Talpidae
Exons: 3
Source: RefSeq, a predicted model, not a curated record